Neofelis nebulosa (Clouded leopard) is the source of this 335-nucleotide long non-coding RNA. RefSeq lists it as uncharacterized. The record is from RefSeq and is a predicted model, not a curated record. Lineage: Eukaryota; Metazoa; Chordata; Mammalia; Carnivora; Felidae. The transcript has 3 exons.
CAGAGUCACGUGGCUGGGUGAAUGAAGAGGAGAAAAUGGCAGUACACACAGCAGAAGGGUGUAGGAAGAGACUAGUCUGCUGAAUAAAAACACGGGAAGAAGCUGAGGUUCAGAGAGGGUGAAUACUUUGUCCAAGGUCAAAUGGCUGCUAAGAGGCAAGCUGCAGGUCGGAACCCUGGGAAGCUUGACUCAGAAGCUCCUACCCACUCUAUCUAUCAUUCUGCUUAAUGGGCAGUGAACCUAGAAUUAUCCAAACUAAAGUCCCCUGAACUAACCAAAGUAUGUCAAGCAGAUCAAUACUCGGAUUUUUAAAGCCUGACUGCUUGAUUCCUUCA